This 564-nucleotide ribosomal RNA is filed under the name uncultured Glomeromycotina. RNAcentral's name for it is "SSU rRNA". It matches the Rfam family "Eukaryotic small subunit ribosomal RNA", at positions 548 to 1114 of the family's 1831-position model. Lineage: Eukaryota; Fungi; Glomeromycota. The record is from RNAcentral.
UUGGAGGGCAAGUCUGGUGCCAGCAGCCGCGGUAAUUCCAGCUCCAAUAGCGUAUAUUAAAGUUGUUGCAGUUAAAAAGCUCGUAGUUGAAUUUCGGGAUCAGAGUGUCGGUCGUGCCUCGGUACGCACUGGCAUUAUUGGUUCCUACCUUCUGAAGAACCGCGAUGUCAUUAAUUUGGUGUCGUGGGGAAUCAGGACUGUUACUUUGAAAAAAUUAGAGUGUUUAAAGCAGGCUUACGCUUGAAUACAUUAGCAUGGAAUAAUGAAAUAGGACGUUUGAUUCUAUUUUGUUGGUUUCUAGGAUUGACGUAAUGAUUAAUAGGGAUAGUUGGGGGCAUUAGUAUUCAAUUGUCAGAGGUGAAAUUCUUGGAUUUAUUAAAGACUAACUACUGCGAAAGCAUUUGCCAAGGAUGUUUUCAUUAAUCAAGAACGAAAGUUAGGGGAUCGAAGACGACCAGAUACCGUCGUAGUCUUAACCAUAAACUAUGCCGACUAGGGAUCGGAUGAUGUUAAUUUUUUAAUGACUCAUUCGGCGCCUUACGGGAAACCAAAGUGUUUGGGUUC